This 72-nucleotide transfer RNA is filed under the name Bos taurus (domestic cattle). It matches the Rfam family "tRNA". From Rfam's summary of the family: Transfer RNA (tRNA) molecules are approximately 80 nucleotides in length. Their secondary structure includes four short double-helical elements and three loops (D, anti-codon, and T loops). Lineage: Eukaryota; Metazoa; Chordata; Mammalia; Artiodactyla; Bovidae. The record is from Rfam by way of RNAcentral. RNAcentral also lists the same sequence under 3 other names.
UCCCUUGUGGUCCAGUGGUUAGGAUUCGGUGCUUUCACUGCUGGGGGCCAGGUUCAAUCCCUGGUGGGGGAA